RNAcentral lists this ribosomal RNA (852 nucleotides) under uncultured bacterium. RNAcentral describes it as "bacterial SSU rRNA". It matches the Rfam family "Bacterial small subunit ribosomal RNA", at positions 41 to 884 of the family's 1533-position model. The record is from RNAcentral.
GGCAGGCCUAACACAUGCAAGUCGAGCGGUAGCAGGAAGUGCUUGCACUUCGCUGACGAGCGGCGGACGGGUGCGUAACACGUAGGAAUCUGCCCGGUAGUGGGGGAUAGCCCGGAGAAAUUCGGAUUAAUACCGCAUACGCCCUAAGGGGGAAAGCAGGGGAUCUUCGGACCUUGCGCUAUCGGAUGAGCCUGCGUCGGAUUAGCUAGUUGGUGGGGUAAAGGCCUACCAAGGCGACGAUCCGUAGCUGGUCUGAGAGGAUGAUCAGCCACACUGGGACUGAGACACGGCCCAGACUCCUACGGGAGGCAGCAGUGGGGAAUAUUGCACAAUGGGCGAAAGCCUGAUGCAGCCAUGCCGCGUGUGUGAAGAAGGCCCUAGGGUUGUAAAGCACUUUCAGUGGGGAGGAAAGGUCGAAGGUUAAUACCCUUUGGCUGUGACGUUACCCACAGAAGAAGCACCGGCUAACUCCGUGCCAGCAGCCGCGGUAAUACGGAGGGUGCGAGCGUUAAUCGGAAUUACUGGGCGUAAAGCGUGCGUAGGCGGCCAUUUAAGUUGGAUGUGAAAGCCCCGGGCUCAACCUGGGAACUGCAUCCAAAACUGGGUGGCUUGAGUGCGAGAGAGGAGUGUGGAAUUUCCUGUGUAGCGGUGAAAUGCGUAGAUAUAGGAAGGAACACCAGUGGCGAAGGCGACACUCUGGCUUGACACUGACGCUGAGGUACGAAAGCGUGGGGAGCAAACAGGAUUAGAUACCCUGGUAGUCCACGCCGUAAACGAUGUCUACUAGUUGUCGGUGGUCUUGUACUGCUGGUAACGCAGCUAACGCGAUAAGUAGACCGCCUGGGGAGUACG